Molecule: microRNA, 24 nt
Filed under: Gossypium hirsutum (cotton)
Lineage: Eukaryota; Viridiplantae; Streptophyta; Magnoliopsida; Malvales; Malvaceae
Description: ghr-miR7491
Source: miRBase by way of RNAcentral
UGGGAUCUUCGAGAGGAUUGAGCC